CCUACGCGAGGCAGCAGUGGGGAAUAUUGCACAAUGGGGGAAACCCUGAUGCAGCGACGCCGCGUGAGGGAAGAAGUAUUUCGGUACGUAAAGCUCUAUCAGCAGGGAAGAAAAUGACGGUACCUGACUAAGAAGCCCCGGCUAACUACGUGCCACCAGACGGUGUAAUACGUAGGGCGCAAGCGUUAUCCGGAUUUACUGGGUGUAAAGGGAGGCUAGACGGUAGCGCAAGUCUGAAGUGAAAACGCAGGGCUUAACCCUGGAACUGCUUUUGAAACUGGCCAGCUGGAGUGCAGUAGAGGUAAGCGGAAUUCCUGGUGUAGCGGUGAAAUGCGUAGAUAUCAGGAGGAACACCAGUGGCGAAGGCGGCUUACUGGACUGAAACUGACGUUGAGGCUCGAAAGCGUGGGGAGCAAACAGGAUUAGAUACCCGUGUAGUC
Molecule: ribosomal RNA, 440 nt
Filed under: uncultured bacterium
Lineage: Bacteria
Description: partial 16S ribosomal RNA
Rfam family: Bacterial small subunit ribosomal RNA
Source: RNAcentral